RNAcentral lists this ribosomal RNA (544 nucleotides) under Klebsiella variicola. RNAcentral describes it as "bacterial SSU rRNA". It matches the Rfam family "Bacterial small subunit ribosomal RNA", at positions 1 to 536 of the family's 1533-position model. The record is from RNAcentral. Lineage: Bacteria; Pseudomonadati; Pseudomonadota; Gammaproteobacteria; Enterobacterales; Enterobacteriaceae.
AAAUUGAAGAGUUUGAUCAUGGCUCAGAUUGAACGCUGGCGGCAGGCCUAACACAUGCAAGUCGAGCGGUAGCACAGAGAGCUUGCUCUCGGGUGACGAGCGGCGGACGGGUGAGUAAUGUCUGGGAAACUGCCUGAUGGAGGGGGAUAACUACUGGAAACGGUAGCUAAUACCGCAUAACGUCGCAAGACCAAAGUGGGGGACCUUCGGGCCUCAUGCCAUCAGAUGUGCCCAGAUGGGAUUAGCUGGUAGGUGGGGUAACGGCUCACCUAGGCGACGAUCCCUAGCUGGUCUGAGAGGAUGACCAGCCACACUGGAACUGAGACACGGUCCAGACUCCUACGGGAGGCAGCAGUGGGGAAUAUUGCACAAUGGGCGCAAGCCUGAUGCAGCCAUGCCGCGUGUGUGAAGAAGGCCUUCGGGUUGUAAAGCACUUUCAGCGGGGAGGAAGGCGGUGAGGUUAAUAACCUCAUCGAUUGACGUUACCCGCAGAAGAAGCACCGGCUAACUCCGUGCCAGCAGCCGCGGUAAUACGGAGGGUGCA